Ribosomal RNA from Mustela putorius furo (domestic ferret), 127 nucleotides. Lineage: Eukaryota; Metazoa; Chordata; Mammalia; Carnivora; Mustelidae. The record is from Ensembl.
GUCUAUGGCCAUACCACCCUGGACGCGUCUGAUCUCAUCUGAUCUCGGAAGCUAAGGAGGGUAGGAUGGUUAGUACUUGGAUGGAAGAAUGUUUAGAUCAAUCAGGAAAUCAAACAAGAAGUUAACU